Non-coding RNA from Bactrocera oleae (olive fruit fly), 575 nucleotides. NCBI's taxonomy places the organism in Eukaryota, Metazoa, Arthropoda, Insecta, Diptera, Tephritidae. The record is from RefSeq and is a predicted model, not a curated record.
GAAUGAAUACAUAUGUAAAAAUAUUAAUAUUGUAUUAAAAAUUGUAAUAAAAAAAAAGCGUUUCCAGUUGAAAUGUUUCAGGCAGCUAGCAAAAGUAAGGCUGCCGAUAAGUGUGCCCCUGAUCCUAAAUUUUGUAUGAUGUGUACAAAAGUUGAAAAUUGCUCGUUGCUAAAAGUUCGUUGCUAAAAGUGCAAUAAAACGUGAAGUAGGAAAGAAAUCAAGAAAAGAAAGUGGAAACCGUGCAAAAUUUUUACAAAAGCGGAAUUAUUUUGUCCUCCUCUUAAACAAUGCAGCAACAAAAAGUUUCAAAAAGCUCACUGGUUAAAACAAAACAGGUCGCAAUUUCCUAGCAGAAUUACAAAGUAAAAGUAACGGAAAAACACACGUUACUCUUUUUUCACGCUGUGCAAGCGUCAUAAAGUAGUAAAUGGAUUAACUCAAAAUUGUCGCUUUUUCGUAAUAAUCUUGGAUAUACGUUUAAUCUUCAACAACCCUCAGAAAUAGCAAGUCAUGAUGCUACGACUAUGCAGAUAAAAAUAAUGGAUACAAAAGUGCAUUUCUGGGUCAUUCAAUUG